UGGGGAAUAUUGGACAAUGGGCGAAAGCCUGAUCCAGCCAUGCCGCGUGAGUGACGAAGGUCUUCGGAUUGUAAAGCUCUUUUGGUGGGGACGAUAAUGACGGUACCCGCAGAAUAAGCCCCGGCUAACUUCGUGCCAGCAGCCGCGGUAAUACGAAGGGGGCUAGCGUUGUUCGGAAUUACUGGGCGUAAAGCGCACGUAGGCGGAUUUGUAAGUCAGGGGUGAAAUCCCGGGGCUCAACCUCGGAACUGCCCUUGAUACUGCAAGUCUCGAGUCCGAUAGAGGUGAGUGGAAUUCCUAGUGUAGAGGUGAAAUUCGUAGAUAUUAGGAAGAACACCAGUGGCGAAGGCGGCUCACUGGAUCGGUACUGACGCUGAGGUGCGAAAGCGUGGGGAGCAAACAGGAUUAGAUACCCGUGUAGUCCCUGAGCGGGCUGGCAAGGCGCAU
RNAcentral lists this ribosomal RNA (447 nucleotides) under uncultured bacterium. RNAcentral's name for it is "bacterial SSU rRNA". It matches the Rfam family "Bacterial small subunit ribosomal RNA", at positions 355 to 825 of the family's 1533-position model. The record is from RNAcentral.